GAUCAUGGCUCAGAUUGAACGCUGGCGGCAGGCCUAACACAUGCAAGUCGAACGGUAACAGGAAGCAGCUUGCUGCUUUGCUGACGAGUGGCGGACGGGUGAGUAAUGUCUGGGAAACUGCCUGAUGGAGGGGGAUAACUACUGGAAACGGUAGCUAAUACCGCAUAACGUCGCAAGACCAAAGAGGGGGACCUUCGGGCCUCUUGCCAUCGGAUGUGCCCAGAUGGGAUUAGCUUUGG
This 239-nucleotide ribosomal RNA is filed under the name uncultured bacterium. RNAcentral describes it as "partial 16S ribosomal RNA". It matches the Rfam family "Bacterial small subunit ribosomal RNA", at positions 15 to 252 of the family's 1533-position model. The record is from RNAcentral.